This 460-nucleotide ribosomal RNA is filed under the name uncultured bacterium. RNAcentral's name for it is "partial 16S ribosomal RNA". It matches the Rfam family "Bacterial small subunit ribosomal RNA", at positions 338 to 795 of the family's 1533-position model. The record is from RNAcentral.
CCUACGGGUGGCAGCAGUGAGGAAUAUUGCUCAAUGGGCGAGAGCCUGAACCAGCCAAGUCGCGUGAAGGAUGACUGUCCUCCGGGCUGUAAACUUCGUUUAUAGAGAAAUAAAGUCAGGCAAGUGACCCUUCUUGUAUGUACUUUACGAAUAAGGAUCGGCUAACUUCGUGCCAGCCGCCGCGGUAAUACGGAGGGUCCGAGCGUUAUCCGGAUUGAUUGGGUUUAAAGGGAGCGUAGGUGGGUUGUUAAGUCAGUUGUGAAAGUUUGCGGCUCAACCGUAAAAUUGCAAUUGAUACUGGCAGUCUUGAGUACAGUUGAGGAAAGUGGAAUUCGUGGUGUAGCGGUGAAAUGCUUAGAUAUCACGAAGAACUCCGGUUGCGAAGGCAGCUUACUGGACUGCAACUGACGUUGAUGCUCGAAAGUGUGGGUAUCAAACAGGAUUAGAUACCCCAGUAGUC